RNAcentral lists this ribosomal RNA (800 nucleotides) under Cicindela intermedia. Its description in RNAcentral is "partial 16S ribosomal RNA". The stretch from base 1 to 563 matches the Rfam family "Bacterial large subunit ribosomal RNA", at positions 1844 to 2925 of the family's 2925-position model. The record is from RNAcentral. Lineage: Eukaryota; Metazoa; Arthropoda; Insecta; Coleoptera; Carabidae.
UAUAAGGUCUAACCUGCCCAAUGAGGAUUUAAAUGGCCGCAGUAUUUUGACUGUGCAAAGGUAGCAUAAUUAUUAGUUUUUUAAUUGAGAACUUGUAUGAAGGGUUGGACGAAAUAAAAACUGUCUUUAUUUAAAUAAAGUUAGAAUUUAACUUUUAAGUUAAAAGGCUUAAAUACUAAUAAUAGACGAGAAGACCCUAUAGAUCUUUAUUUAAUUAAUAUUUUAAUAAUUUAGGAUUAUUUUAAUUUAAAAUUUUAAUUAAAUUUUAUUGGGGUAAUAUAAAGAUUUAAUUAAUUCUUUUUAUUAAUUACAUUAAUUUAUGAAUAAAUGAUCCAAUAUUAUUGAUUAUAAGAUUAAGUUACCUUAGGGAUAACAGCGUAAUUUUUUUGGAGAGCUCAUAUCGAUAAAAAAGUUUGCGACCUCGAUGUUGGAUUAAAAAUUAGCUUGGGUGCAGAAGCUCAAGAUUUUGGUCUGUUCGACCAUUAAAUUUUUACAUGAUCUGAGUUCAGACCGGCGUAAGCCAGGUCGGUUUCUAUCUUUAUCUAAUUAAAAUAUUUUAGUACGAAAGGACCAGAUAUUUAAUAUAAUAAUAUUUAUUUUUUGAACAAUAUUAUUACUUUGGCAGAUUAGUGCAAUGAAUUUAGAAUUCAUAAAUGUAAUUAUAUUACAAGUAAUACUUGUAUUUGGGAGAUUUAUUAUUAAUAGUUUUAUGCAUAUUAAUUCUUGUAAUUUGUGUAUUAGUAGGUGUGGCAUUUUUAACUUURNUAGAACGGAGGGUACUGGGAUAUAUUCAAAUUCGA